UCAGAAGCUGAUGGCGUGCUAGAAUCCUACUUAUCCUGUAAGGAGAGCGUCUUGCAGUCUGAUCAAAUCGCAAGUACAUCUCUUGGCCUUCUGUUGACACAGUAUUCACACAGUAGCACCCUGAGCCUGAAGUGCCGGGCACCUGCCUUAACAUCUUUGCCCUUUAAAAAAAAAUCAACUCUUAAUCAGAAAGAAGAGACGCAAGAAACAGAAAAGCGCGAGCGUUUUGAAAGCAAGCAAGGAAGAGGAGUGCUAAAAGCCUACAAUUCAGGAUUCCAACUCCCCUCACGUGAUCGGAAAGGGCCAAUCAGUUAAAGCAAAGAAUGUGAAAGUACACAGCGUGCCUCGCUGCCGAGGAAAGUGAAUGCUGUUCAAGCAUUUACAGCAGCCUCUCAUGAACUCUGAGAGCAAAUACAAAUGUCAUGCCUCGGAGCUGAUUAAGCAGUGGUGGUGAGCCUGGUACGAAAGUCUGAAGGAAGAAAAGAGAGCGAGAGACGUACAUAUUUCAUGCUGCAACAAUCUUAAGCGAGCAGAAGCCUGGCAUUUUUCUCUGCCCCGGAGGCUCAGGUCACUUUUCAGACAUAACAGUUUCCAAGGCAGUUUACCAUAAAAGCAACAACGACGUGCAUAUUUCAUCUGAAAAGCCCCAUCGGUGCUCCACUGGCUCUUGAGAUGCACCUGCUUAGACAAGCAUUCCCCUGCGCUCCUGACCUGAACCUCCUGAUCUAAUAGUUUUAAUUGCUGUUUUAAUAGGCUUAUUUUAUUGUACAUUUUAACUGAGGAUGUUUUUAAUGUUUUGAUGAAAUUGUUUUAUUGUGUAUUUUAAUGAUGGAUAUAUUUUUAUAAUUGAUUUUACAUUUGCAAAGCGUUGAGAAGCCAUUUUGGCAUGUAAGCAGUAUACUACUACUAAUAAAAAUAGUAAGUGCAAACACA
Long non-coding RNA from Rhineura floridana, 933 nucleotides. RefSeq lists it as uncharacterized. Lineage: Eukaryota; Metazoa; Chordata; Lepidosauria; Squamata; Rhineuridae. The record is from RefSeq and is a predicted model, not a curated record. The transcript has 2 exons.